CGGGGCCUCGCCGGAGUGCCGCCGUCCGGUCACCGGACCGCCGCCGCCGACCGCCAUGCACGGUGGUCGGAAAUUCAAAUCAUCACCAAAAUUAACAAACAAUCUAUCAUUUUAUUUGUUUCGAUGAGAGGAUCAUUAAUAUGUAUUCAAAUCAAGGUGGGUACGAACUAUUUGGCCGGAAAUUGAUCGGAAAGGUUCGGUGAUACCCAUUUUGGGUUUUCCGAUUCCGGCCAUUACAGUCGACGAGGAGGCCAUCAAAUGAAAGAAGAAGAAGAGAGGAGUCAUUUGGUACUCACCUUGAGCCCUAGGCUUGCCUGAAACGGCGUGAAU
This is a non-coding RNA of Jatropha curcas, 330 nucleotides long. NCBI's taxonomy places the organism in Eukaryota, Viridiplantae, Streptophyta, Magnoliopsida, Malpighiales, Euphorbiaceae. The record is from RefSeq and is a predicted model, not a curated record.